UUUUUUUUUUCUUUUUUUUUAAAUAUUAUUCAAUUUAAUUAGGCAUUAAGUUUCUUCGUGAUCGAAGUACGAUAUAUGUAAUUGCGUAUGAGUUACAACGAAUUAUUAUAGUACCAUUAGAAAGGACUUUGCAAGAGAUCUGUGGGAUUAGAUCGACCUAUUUCUGCCAGUACGUCUGCACUCCAUUAUUCAAUAUCAUAGAUAUAACAAUCGAAUGUAUUUGAAAAUGAAAUAAAAAAAAAGAAGAAGAAGAAGAAAAAGAAACAAUCAAGAGAAACAUGUACGGAUAAGAAAAUCUGACGAUGUCGGGAGGCCAAUGAUACGUUUGAAUUCGUCCUCGUUCGUAAGAUUAAAAUUUUGCGAGCGUAGACGGUAACUAAUAGUCGGCGACGGAUCACGAGGACAAAUUGUGACUGGUGCAAUGAUAAAAGAGACUGGGAGCUUACUCGAUUACACCGACGUCAGGUCGGUUGCGAGUUGAACUUGGACCUCCCGUAGCAACAGGAACGAGAACGCUCGACGAAAGAAUUGUUAGACGACGAAAGAAGUCCCUUCGAAAUAGCUGCCAACGAUUUGAAACAUCGAGAUAUAGAAAAUAUCAUGAGUGUGGAAUGAAAUGAUCCACGAAACAAUUCAUGAAAGAGGAAAGUAAAUGAUAAUCGUCAACAGAAUAAUAUUAGAUUCUACAAUUAAAACUGGAUAUUUAACAACAGCAACAACAACAACGGAAGAUUAUCUUAAAAACAGGAAUAAUAUUUGAUAAGUUUAAAACUGGAUAUUUAACAACAACAACAACAAUAACAAAAAUAAAGGAUAAAUAAGGGAACGUAGCAAGAAGAAGAUGAUCGGGGGCCCAUUUUUCGAUUGGUCCCUCUCGAUUAGCCCUCACGAUUGGCCCAUCGACAUUCGACCGACGACGACGACGACGAAAUUUCGACGUCGAGCUUUAAUAGAAAGACAACGACUCGUCGGGGAAUUAUGCGGCGUUGGGCGCAUAAUCAUGAGCGUAGUCUGAUCGAGACAGUUGCUCUGAUAUGACCCCCUGCGAGAGUGGUCUCAAUUUUAAAGUGCGACCGAUAGACGACAGAGAACGAUGAGAAAGAGAAAGAGAAAGAAAAAGAGAGAAAGAGAGAGAGAGAGAGAGAGAGAGAGAGAGCUUGUAAUGGAGCCGUCGCACGCGUGAUUGGCGUAACAAGUCGGGCCUAGAAUCGAAUCCGACUUGUAUACAUAUUACGCCUACAUUCACAUAUAUAUCGUAGCCUGGAUCUCGAGAUGUGCACUCAAGAAAGAAGAAUAAGAAUAAGAAGAAGAAACUAAAGAUAAUAUAUUAAAAGAAGAAAAUAAUAUUUAUUGUAUCGUUAGUAAAUAUGUGAUAAGUAUGCCGCGAGCUUAUGCCCCCUGCGAGAGUGUAGUGUCGAUUUCAAAGUACAACCGACAAUCAUUCACGUGAUAUAUGCACAAAUCUGUUUCACACGCAUAAGUAUCUUCUAAUAUAUGUAUAUAUAUAUAUAUAUAUGUUAACUCGUUAAUGAUAUUUUUCUCUAUCGGUUUCUAUAACCAGCUGCACGACCGAGUUUCUCUCGUAAUAUAGUCAUUCUUUUGAUUGCUCAUUAGUCUUCUCUUCUCCAAAAAAUCUCGACAAGCUGAUAGGGAGAAUGAUUGACGGUUGCAAAAUGAAAAUACAAACAAUUACCUACUUAUUUGACUGGAGUCUCACGAAAAUGCGAAAAUGAGAUUGUUUUCAAUUGUAUGGGAAUAUUUAAUUUUUGGAUUAUUAUUUGCGUAUACUUAUAUAUCCUAUAUGUAAGAUUGUUCUCUUUAAACUUCAAUGAAUGAUAAGUCCUAGGAAAAAAAAAAGAAAUUAAAAUAAAAUGAAGUAACGUUCUUCACUCUUCUCGGGUGCGAAGUACGUCGAUUCGUGUUUGUUGACCUGGCAAUUACGCGGUCACUGCCACGGGAUCAUUUAAAAGGAAUAGAAAAUAUCUUAUGUAUCAGCGAAUCGCGGUGGCAGAGGUCCUUUUAAAACAUUACAUUGAUAAAAAUGAAAAAUACUUUUUCUCUAGCGUGCUAACUAAUCUAUUGACCUUAAGAUUUUUGGCGUAUCGGUGAUAGUGCUUUGCUUUUAUUGCGUUGACUCAAUAUUACCAUCGUUGGCGUUUACUAUACAUAGAUAAAAGAGAAAGAAAGAAAGAAAGAAAAAAAAACGUGAAGUAAAGGACCCUCUCCACCCACAUACCAGUGCAAUCUAAUUUCUUUCCUCUUAAAAGAGAAAAAGAAGAAUGUCUUCCCUGUUAAUAGAAGAAGUCAAGUACGGUGGGGUCAAAGAGAAGUAGAAGAAGAAGAAGAAGAAGAAGAAGAAGAUGUAUAUUCGACAAUCAUGAACGAUUAGUCAGACACGAGAGUGCAUCGCGUGAAACACGUGGGACAUUAUACGUCCUUGGUGUCGUUCCCCUUUCUUCAACUUCUACUUCUACUUCUUCUUCUUCUUAUUCAUUUUUAUUUUCAUCCUUCGAUCUCUCUCUCUCUCUCUCUCUCUUUCAUACAACUGAACAGAGAGACAAACGAAAGAAGGAACAAAUACAGUGGCGUUAAGACAACAUUUUGCAAGUGCGAUAUCAUUCUCUCUCUUACACAUGACAUAAUAAAAGUAAACCUAACCGAGGUACAAUUUCACUGCACUGGUAGUCGCAAUUACAUCUAUUAAUAGAUAACCAAGAAGACGCAGACGCAUACACUAAGGUUUAAUCUCGAUUGCACGUUACUUUACCAUGAGAACAAUAAAACUUCUUCUUCUUCUUGGUGUGUUCGACGAGUUGGCCUUCUCUACGGCAACCAACUCGCACACACCGAUCAGUCGUCAAGAAUUUCACGAUAGGAGGAGGGAUGAGAUAUCGUGACUUUCUCGUCACGAAUUACUCGCAAAGUAAAAAAAGAAAAAAAAAAAAGAAAAAUUGUUCUCUCUUCUAAGUUGUCGUCGUCCCGUUAGAUCAUCGCCCAUUGAAUUUCACAACGAUCGAAGGAUGUGUGUUCCUAUUGUUCCGAGGAUUCUUAAGAGAUAAGUUGAAUUUUUCAUUCGUAUCUAACAGUUAAUAAUAAUAAUAAUAAUUCUUCUUCUUCCAUUCCCGCGUGAUUUAAUAAUUAUCUUUCUUACUUAACUAGAUCGAAUCUUUCAAACGCAUAAUCCUCGUGCACUCUCAAUCGUUUCUUUUAUUUAACAGGUAUGCUUCGCGGAAAUCGUUAAAACGGCCGGACCAGAUACGAAACGCACAAGGCUUCAUUUGAAUUGUAAAUUUAUUCAUAAACUAGAUAAUUGGUGCGAUCGUUAGAUCUCGUACAAAAUCCUACGGAUUUAUUAUUAUUCACAUUAUAGUGUUCCUCUUCAUUGGAUCAUCUGAAAAUGUUCAUAUUUAUGGAGUAGGGUAAGCGUGUUUCAUGAUUUUCAAUGAUAAAUUCUCUUUUUCGUAUUUGAAAGAAGAAGGAUCGAGUGAAUUGUUUUAGAAACAAUUCAUUCGUUAAAUAAAACUUUGACUCGAUGAUAGUGAAACAAAAAUAUACGUAAUCAAGCUUGUUUACAGUUUUCAUCCGUCUAUGGUUUCUAUGAAUAGACGAGGGAGUCUAAUGGACUUCAUUUUUCAUUCAAGAUAUCAGAAUUGGUACAAUCGUUGGAAAGAAACGAGGGCAUGCUCUCCUUGUUUAUCCCCUCUCUCAUGGCACUCUCGGGAGUCUGUAAAAUCUGGAACAAGAACCGCGUGGCGAGACGAACCGGUACCAGUGCCACCGAGAGAGUCGGUAGCAACGGAACUCUUCUGAAGACACGAUCUGGUCUAUCUCACGUCGGUCCCACGUCUUUCAUCUUCUUUCAAAAUAUAUAUAAAGAA
This 3878-nucleotide long non-coding RNA is filed under the name Polistes fuscatus (common paper wasp). Its description in RNAcentral is "uncharacterized LOC122518483, transcript variant X1". Lineage: Eukaryota; Metazoa; Arthropoda; Insecta; Hymenoptera; Vespidae. The record is from RNAcentral.